This 74-nucleotide transfer RNA is filed under the name Enterococcus faecium. Its description in RNAcentral is "tRNA-Ile". It matches the Rfam family "tRNA". Rfam says of the family: Transfer RNA (tRNA) molecules are approximately 80 nucleotides in length. Their secondary structure includes four short double-helical elements and three loops (D, anti-codon, and T loops). RNAcentral also lists the same sequence under 2 other names. Lineage: Bacteria; Bacillati; Bacillota; Bacilli; Lactobacillales; Enterococcaceae. The record is from RNAcentral.
GUAUCCUUAGCUCAGUUGGUUAGAGCAGACGGCUCAUAACCGUCCGGUCGUAGGUUCGAGUCCUACAGGGUACA